CCUGCCCCGCGAUGGUUGUCUUGGAUGUCGCAAGCAGGACGCGCGACCCUAGGGCCGGAGCUCUCGGCGACGGAGGCCCUUGGCGACGCUGACGCGGAGUCCCACGCCGCCGGAGCAGUUGGCGAAAGCCAGCAUGACGCGGCGGACGUCCGGGGUAAGCCCGACUGCGCGCGCCAGGUGCAGGUCGCCGCCGGGGAACCACGCCUCGCUGGAGGAGACGUAGACGAGGUGGGUGAUCAGCGCGGCUCACCCUCCUCUCCCUACCAAGGCUGCUGGCAGCGCCGAGGAGGAGCUCCUUUCCUUCGUAAGCCGGGUGGAGGCGCGGAGGAGGAGCUGGACGCGGCCCUCCCCUCCCGAGUCAGAUGGCGGCAUGGAGGAGGAGUUGGCCGUCGUCCUCUCCCUCCUGACUGAUAGCGGCGCGGAGAAGGAGCUGGACGCCCUCCUCUCCCUCGAUCUGCACCUCCACCGGUCUCCCAUGGCCGAUGUCUUCCUCCAUGGCUGCAUAAGCAGCAACGCCUCUGGUCAGUGGUCACCAGCCCACCACCACCGUAUGGGAGAGCCACGUGAGGAGGCCGAUGACAGCGACCUAGGCGAGGCGCCGCGACGGCGGAAGCCGGCGCAGUGAUGUGUCUUGCCGGCGGGCAGAAGCUUGGGAAGAGGCGGGUGACGGCGACGGCAUUACGUUCGCCGAGCAGAGCAAGAUUGCUAGGGUCGUGCGCAAGAGGGAGGAACUUCGUGAAGGGGUCGCGUGGCCGACCUCGCGGCCAGAGCGGACCAGGCCAGGCCAGGAGCGCGCAGGGUCUGCCGGAGUCGAGGCGAGCGGAACCACCUUCUUUCCAUGACCGAUCUUCUCCCUUUCUUCACUUUCCCUAUCCUAGCUCCUCGCCGCGGCCGUUUCGUCGUCACCGCCAUACCCGGUCUCCAUCACGGCGCUGCCUUAGGCGACGCACCGCUGGGGUGGACGAGCUCGAUGGGGGACGUUCCAGCCGCCCUCCUCCCGCUCCUAUCUCUGGUGGGGGCCAACCCUCGCUGACGCCCGCAUCAGGAGGCGCUCAGACACGCGCCACGACAAGCUCUGGCGAAAUCUGCCUCCUCUAUGCCUCGCAACGACAGAGCAAUAGCACCGAAGGUUAUUUUGCAGGUGUCUUCAUUAUAAGUAUAUGGUUGGGACUUGGGAUCAUGAUCAUAUAGUUAUUCCUGAAGGCUACACUGCAAUUCAGAUCAAAAUUGAGGUUAUUUUGGUUGGUUGCUGGACUGCAGGUCGUUGGUGAUGCAGGCUUAAUCCGUGCUCGCCCCUGCUUCCCUGCUGCCCAACGGGGUGUUGCCGAAUGUGGAUGCUGAUGCGAGUACGGAGGCUGCUAUAGCAUUGGUGUAAGCUCGAGGACAAGGCCACUUGAGAGCGGAGAGAGGACGAAGAGGCAGGGUGGAUGCCGUUGUCAACUGUUGACUUAUCUUACAGUCACAUCCAGUGUGUUUUGUUCACCUUUAUAUCUAGAUUUGUGCUUUCUUAUCAACGUAGGUGAAGUUAGUUUGGUGGUUUCAGAUAUGGGGAGUGGUGCUAAAUACAUUCCUUUAUUAUUUUCUGGCCAAAUACAAUUCUGGUGGUUUCAGAUAUGGGGAGGGGUGCUAAAUACAUUACUUUAUUAUUUUCUGGCCAAAUACAAUUCUGGAAGUUAAGAGUUUAUGGUAAAUAUGUACCUCAUGAAUCCUGAUAAACCAAUUGGUAAAAUAGUACUAAUAUACAUCCGUUUAUAUUUAAUUUCCCCUGCUCUCUCUGAAAAUAUUCAAUUGUUUUUGUUGCAGAUGAAAUAUAUGUUCAGAGGAUGUGUCUUGGUCUUGCCGCUGCCCUCUUAUUUGUUUGGCUUGAGGGAGCAUAACAAUUGGCAAUAUGCAUUGCAGGUUUAUGUCUGAAGAUUGUGGACUGGAUGUUCGAGGAGUAGAAGCAUCUCAUCAUGGAGUACCUUCCUGGUGGAGAUAUGAUGACUUUGCAUAUUGGCAAGGACACACCGACAGAAGAUGAAGCCAAUUCUACAUUGCAGAAACUGUACUUGCAAUAGAGUCUAUUCAAAAGCACAAUUACGUUCACCGAUAUCGCAUAACUCUUCUCUUGCUCUUAUAAUAUUUUUGUUGAUUCCAAAAUCUAGCAUGUAUCUUUGUGUUCAUUUUGUCAGGGAUGUCAAGCCUGAAAAUCUAUUGUCAGUUCUCACCUACAGACAUCGUAGCAAUGGCAACACCAACAUCUACUAAAUGGGUGUUGUGUACCGGGUUUAGUAUUUAUCUACUAGAUGUGUGUUGUGUACUGGGUUUAGUAUUAUAAAUUAGACGUGUGUUAUGUACAGGGUUUACUAAAAUCCGUAGCCAAGUCCCUCUACCCACCUGCCUGUUAUAUCCUUGGAUUUUCCGAUCAUGUGAAUCAAUAAUGUGCUCACCUCUAAA
Molecule: long non-coding RNA, 2436 nt
Organism: Lolium perenne
Lineage: Eukaryota; Viridiplantae; Streptophyta; Magnoliopsida; Poales; Poaceae
Source: RefSeq, a predicted model, not a curated record